Molecule: ribosomal RNA, 250 nt
Filed under: uncultured bacterium
Lineage: Bacteria
Description: partial 16S ribosomal RNA
Rfam family: Bacterial small subunit ribosomal RNA
Source: RNAcentral
AUUGAACGCUGGCGGCGUGCUUUACACAUGCAAGUCGAGCGGCAGCAUGGGGGCAACCCUGAUGGCGAGCGGCGGACGGGUGAGUAAAAUAUCGAGACGUGCCUAGUAGGGGGGGAUAACUCAUCGAAAGAUGAGCUAAUACCGCAUAAUCUCUGAGGAGGAAAGGUGGGGACUGGAGACGGCCUGCCGUUAUUAGAGCGAUCGAUAACCGAUUAGCUAGUUGGUGAGGUAAAGGCUUACCAAGGCGAUG